RNAcentral lists this transfer RNA (72 nucleotides) under Marmota marmota marmota (Alpine marmot). It matches the Rfam family "tRNA". From Rfam's summary of the family: Transfer RNA (tRNA) molecules are approximately 80 nucleotides in length. The record is from Rfam by way of RNAcentral. RNAcentral also lists the same sequence under 1 other name. Lineage: Eukaryota; Metazoa; Chordata; Mammalia; Rodentia; Sciuridae.
GGUGUUGUGGCUUAGCAGUGGAGCAUUUGCCUCGUAUGUAUGAGACUCUGGGUUCAAUCCUCAGCACCACCU